Molecule: ribosomal RNA, 386 nt
Filed under: Crocidura maquassiensis (Makwassie musk shrew)
Lineage: Eukaryota; Metazoa; Chordata; Mammalia; Eulipotyphla; Soricidae
Description: partial 16S ribosomal RNA
Rfam family: Bacterial large subunit ribosomal RNA
Source: RNAcentral
CGGCCGCGGUAUCCUGACCGUGCAAAGGUAGCAUAAUCAUUUGUUCCUUAAUUAGGGACUUGUAUGAAUGGCCCCACGAGGGUUUAACUGUCUCUUACUUUCAAUCAGUGAAAUUGACCUUCCCGUGAAGAGGCGGGAAUACAAAAAUAAGACGAGAAGACCCUAUGGAGCUUAAAUUAAUAUGCUCUGAGCAACAAAUUUUGGUUGGGGUGACCUCGGAGUAUAACAAAACCUCCGAACCAAGACCUACUCGUCAAGGUCAAUCAUAUUGAUCAACGAAACAAGUUACCCUAGGGAUAACAGCGCAAUCCUAUUUGAGAGUUCAUAUCGACAAUAGGGUUUACGACCUCGAUGUUGGAUCAGGACACCCAAAUGGUGCAGCAGCU